Molecule: ribosomal RNA, 1844 nt
Filed under: human gut metagenome
Description: bacterial LSU rRNA
Rfam family: Bacterial large subunit ribosomal RNA
Source: RNAcentral
AGGUUAAGGGCGAGUACGCCCGCAGCCGAAGCGAAAGCGAGUCCGAAGAGGGCGAUUACAGUCAGCGGAGGUGGACGCGAAACCAAGUGAUCUACCCAUGGGCAGGAUGAAGGACGGGUGACUCCGUCUGGAGGUCCGAACCGGUAAGCGUUGAAAAGCUUUCGGAUGACCUGUGGGUAGGAGUGAAAGGCCAAUCAAACUUGGAGAUAGCUCGUACUCCCCGAAAUGUAUUUAGGUGCAGCCUCGGGCGAGAGUGGCGGAGGUAGAGCGACCGAUAGGAUGCGAGGGCUUCACCGCCUAUCAAGUCCUGCCGAACUCCGAAUGCCGCCCACUCGAUGUCCGGGAGUAAGGGCGCGGGUGCUAAGGUCCGCGUCCGAGAGAGGAACAACUCAGACCACCGUCUAAGGCCCCCAAAUCCGGGCCAAGUUGAAGACAAUAACGAAGUGCGGCCGCAGAGACAGCCAGGAUGUUGGCUUGGAAGCAGCCAUUCAUUUAAAGAGUGCGUAACAGCUCACCGGUCGAGCGGCCGCGCAUGGAUAAUAAUCGGGCAUAAGUCCGGUGCCGAAGACGUGGAAUCACACCUUGCGUGUGGUUGGUAGGGGAGCAUUCCAUACCGUGUUGAAUGCCAGCCUUGAGGCUGACUGGAGCGUAUGGAAAAGCAAAUGUAGGUAUAAGUAACGAUAAAGGGGGCGGAAAACCCCCUCGCCGUAAGACCAAGGUUUCCUGAUCAACGCUAAUCGGAUCAGGGUCAGUCGGGACCUAAGCCGCACCCGCGAGGGGCAGGCGAUGGAAGAAGCGGUUAAUAUUCCGCUACCGGCACUGGCUGCGACGGAGAGACGGAGAAGUGACACGCCCGCGCGCUGACGGAAUAGCGCGUUGAAGGGUGUAGGCGCGGAGGGGCGCAGGCAAAUCCACGCCCCGAGCCGAGACCCGACAGUACAGCGAGCCCCCGGGCGAGCUGACAGCGGCGGUAACCAUGCUCCCUAGAAAAUCUUCUAAGCCCCAGGCCAGAGCCGCCCGUACCGUAAACCGACACAGGUGGUCGGGUAGAAUAUACCAAGGCGCUCGAGUGAUUCACGGUUAAGGAACUAGGCAAACUGACCCCGUAACUUCGGGAUAAGGGGUCCCGUCCUCCGGGACGGGCGCAGAGAAUAGGUCCAGGCAACUGUUUAACAAAAACACAGGGCUGUGCGAAAUUGAAAGAUGAUGUAUACAGCCUGACACCUGCCCGGUGCCGGAAGGUUAAGAGGAGAGGUCAUCGCGAGAGAAGCCUUGAAUUGAAGCCCCGGUAAACGGCGGCCGUAACUAUAACGGUCCUAAGGUAGCGAAAUUCCUUGUCGGGUAAGUUCCGACCUGCACGAAUGGUGUAAUGAUCCGGACACUGUCUCAACCGUGAGCUCGGUGAAAUUGUAGUAUCGGUGAAGAUGCCGAUUACCCGCAACGGGACGAAAAGACCCCGUGAACCUUUACUACAGCUUAGCAUUGCGACCGGGUGCGCGAUGUGUAGGAUAGCCAGGAGGCUUUGAAGUGGGGGCGCCAGUCCCCGUGGAGCCGCUGUUGAAAUACUGGCCUUCUCGCAUCUGGUUCCUAACGCGCUGAUUGCGCGGACACUGCUUGGCGGGUAGUUUGACUGGGGUGGUCGCCUCCAAAAGAGUAACGGAGGCUUCUAAAGGUGCCCUCAGGACGAUUGGUAACCGUCCGUAGAGUGUAAUGGCAUAAGGGCGCUUGACUGGGAGACAGACAAGUCGAUCAGGUAGGAAACUAGAGCAUAGUGAUCCGGUGGUUCCGCAUGGAAGGGCCAUCGCUCAAAGGAUAAAAGGUACUCCGGGGAUAACAGGCUGAUC